UCGGGGUACUCGAGUGGCGAACGGGUGAGUAACACGUGGGUGAUCUGCCCUGCACUUUGGGAUAAGCCUGGGAAACUGGGUCUAAUACCGAAUAGGACCACGCGCUUCAUGGUGUGUGGUGGAAAGCUUUUGCGGUGUGGGAUGGGCCCGCGGCCUAUCCGAGCUUGUUGGUGGGGUAAUGGCCUACCAAGGCGACGACGGGUAGCCGGCCUGAGAGGGUGACCGGCCACACUGGGACUGAGAUACGGCCCANACUCCUACGGGAGGCAGCAGUGGGGAAUAUUGCACAAUGGGCGCAAGCCUGAUGCAGCGACGCCGCGUGAGGGAUGACGGCCUUCGGGUUGUAAACCUCUUUCAAUAGGGACGAAGCGCAAGUGACGGUACCUAUAGAAGAAGCACCGGCCAACUACGUGCCAGCAGCCGCGGUAAUACGUAGGGUGCGAGCGUUGUCCGGAAUUACUGGGCGUAAAGAGCUCGUAGGUGGUUUGUCGCGUUGUUCGUGAAAACUCACAGCUUAACUGUGGGCGUGCGGGCGAUACGGGCAGACUAGAGUACUGCAGGGGAGACUGGAAUUCCUGGUGUAGCGGUGGAAUGCGCAGAUAUCAGGAGGAACACCGGUGGCGAAGGCGGGUCUCUGGGCAGUAACUGACGCUGAGGAGCGAAAGCGUGGGGAGCGAACAGGAUUAGAUACCCUGGUAGUCCACGCCGUAAACGGUGGGUACUAGGUGUGGGUUCCUUCCUUGGGAUCCGUGCCGUAGCUAACGCAUUAAGUACCCCGCCUGGGGAGUACGGCCGCAAGGCUAAAACUCAAAGGAAUUGACGGGGGGCCCGCACAAGCGGCGGAGCAUGUGGAUUAAUUCGAUGCAACGCGAAGAACCUUACCUGGGUUUGACAUGCACAGGACGCCGGCAGAGAUGUCGGUUCCCUUGUGGCCUGUGUGCAGGUGGUGCAUGGCUGUCGUCAGCUCGUGUCGUGAGAUGUUGGGUUAAGUCCCGCAACGAGCGCAACCCUUGUCCUAUGUUGCCAGCGGGUUAUGCCGGGGACUCGUAGGAGACUGCCGGGGUCAACUCGGAGGAAGGUGGGGAUCNGACGUCAAGUCAUCAUGCCCCUUAUGUCCAGGGCUUCACACAUGCUACAAUGGCCGGUACAAAGGGCUGCGAUGCCGUGAGGUGGAGCGAAUCCUUUCAAAGCCGGUCUCAGUUCGGAUCGGGGUCUGCAACUCGACCCCGUGAAGUCGGAGUCGCUAGUAAUCGCAGAUCAGCAACGCUGCGGUGAAUACGUUCCCGGGCCUUGNNCACACCGCCCGUCAGGUCAUGAAAGUCGGUAACACCCGAAGCC
This 1338-nucleotide ribosomal RNA is filed under the name Mycobacterium sp. DWMJ-1551B3. RNAcentral describes it as "bacterial SSU rRNA". It matches the Rfam family "Bacterial small subunit ribosomal RNA", at positions 82 to 1428 of the family's 1533-position model. Lineage: Bacteria; Bacillati; Actinomycetota; Actinomycetes; Mycobacteriales; Mycobacteriaceae. The record is from RNAcentral.